AUUGUGGUGUAUGGGGAGGGGGCUCGUCUGCACUGGGUUCAUGCAGUGAGCGGGUGGACACAAGGCGCAGUUCACAACCCAGUUGAGGAUACGAAGUAUUUUUUAUUUUUUGAUUAGCAAAGACGACGCCUGUAGACCUCCUGCCUG
Long non-coding RNA from Bufo bufo (common toad), 147 nucleotides. RefSeq lists it as uncharacterized. The transcript has 3 exons. NCBI's taxonomy places the organism in Eukaryota, Metazoa, Chordata, Amphibia, Anura, Bufonidae. The record is from RefSeq and is a predicted model, not a curated record.